CAAGAAUAUUUAGCCCACACAGCCCCCCAGUAGGGGGAAGGAAAACGAGCUGUUUUAGCUGCGAGUGACCAAAGUAUUUGUAUAGCUGAAAAACAAGAUGGCAAGAUGCACAACACUGUUUAACCUAAAGGAUUGGUUAUGUUAAGUCUUUGACUGAAUCACAUGAUUUAUUUUGCCUGAAUGCAGCUACGUACAAAGCUGAAGGCAAAUGGUGCGUUUUCACAUGAUCUGAACUGGAGAAAAAUCCAAGAAUGAAAAUU
RNAcentral lists this long non-coding RNA (260 nucleotides) under Numida meleagris (helmeted guineafowl). RNAcentral describes it as "lncRNA (ENSNMEG00000001996.1)". The record is from RNAcentral. Lineage: Eukaryota; Metazoa; Chordata; Aves; Galliformes; Numididae.